Pseudophryne corroboree (corroboree frog) is the source of this 360-nucleotide long non-coding RNA. RefSeq lists it as uncharacterized. The record is from RefSeq and is a predicted model, not a curated record. NCBI's taxonomy places the organism in Eukaryota, Metazoa, Chordata, Amphibia, Anura, Myobatrachidae. The transcript has 3 exons.
CGUCAUGCGCGGGCGCGGCCAGAGGAUGGUGCCGCUGCGGAACAGCCUGGGCGCGCGCACGUCACGUCUCCCGCGCCCGCGCAUGACGCGAGUCCCCAAUCCCCAUUCUGUGUGUGGGUGGAACUGUUUGCUGCAGAAAUCGUGUAUCCCUCAUUAUAUCCCUAUUAUUUCUGUGUAUAGUGAUAAUAACGCUGCAUGUGCUUAGUAAUGGUCUCAUUAAGCAACCAGGUCUGCGCCGGAAGUCACUGUCACAGCAACACCGGGACCCGAAAGAAGAUACUGGAGCCACUGUUACUGCUGGGAGCAGAGUGGCCCACUCAAAAUCGGGAUAUAAUGACAGGGAUGACAUCAGGUGAGGGC